GUAGGGUGCGAGCGUUGCCCGGAUCUAUUGGGCGUAAAGGGCGCGUAGGCGGCUACGCACGUCCGUUGUGAAAUCGCUCGGCUCAACUGGGCGGGGUCAGCGGAUACGGUGUAGCUGGAGCAAGCUAGGGGGCAAUGGAAUUCCCGGUGUAGUGGUGGAAUGCGUAGAUAUCGGGAGGAACACCAGUGGCGAAGGCGGUUGCCUGGAGCUUUGCUGACGCUGAGGCGCGAAAGCGUGGGGAGCGAUCCGGAUUAGAUACCCGGGUAGUCCACGCCGUAAACGAUGUCGACUAGGUGUCGGGGGUAUCGACCCCCUCGGCGCCGCAGCUAACGCAUUAAGUCGACCGCCUGGGGACUACGGCCGCAAGGCUA
RNAcentral lists this ribosomal RNA (371 nucleotides) under uncultured bacterium. RNAcentral's name for it is "bacterial SSU rRNA". It matches the Rfam family "Bacterial small subunit ribosomal RNA", at positions 527 to 896 of the family's 1533-position model. The record is from RNAcentral.